Pipra filicauda (Wire-tailed manakin) is the source of this 1388-nucleotide long non-coding RNA. RefSeq lists it as uncharacterized. The transcript is spliced from 4 exons. NCBI's taxonomy places the organism in Eukaryota, Metazoa, Chordata, Aves, Passeriformes, Pipridae. The record is from RefSeq and is a predicted model, not a curated record.
CCCCUUAUUUUCCAUUCUUUCUAACCUUGGAUGUGUCUCUCAUAUAUUUUCAUUUACAAUUUAUAUAAGUAUUUUAUAUAGCAACAUAGUGUAUAUCUCUUUAAAGUGCCCUAUAAUUUGUUUUUUUCUUCCACAAUUGACCCUGAGAAUUUCAGAAAGCCAGACACAUCUUUUAGGAUAUCAAAUGAAGUCUCUAACUGGAUGACCCAUUUGUUCCUGCAAGUGAGCAGACUGAUUCUCUGUACAACAGUGAAAAAGCUGUGCAUCAUCGGUGAGGGAUGAAAGACAAGCAGUACGCAUUAUUGUAUAUCAAAGUGUAAUGCUGGAACCUUGAUCUACAGGAACAGAAACAAGCCUUUCCUAGCAUCAAGACAUUAAACCCUCCAAGAAACAAUCAAACCAACACCACAGAAUUCACUGGGAGAUUUAGCUCUUCUGCUUCUGGAGUGUUCUGGCACUGUGGUCUAGUGAACUACAAGGUGAUGAAGAAAGAGAUAACAACCUACCUUGAAGAUAGCUGCCUCAAAAAGAAACAUAAUGGAUAAAGUUCAGACCCGUAGGAUCUCAGCUAGCCUUACUAGUCUGGUGUGCGCCCCUCUGCCUGUGCUGCUGUUUGGCAGGCUGCCAGUGCCCAGAAAACACCAAGGAGCAGGGAUGCUGCUGGAAAAAGGACUGUCAAGCUUACUGGAAAGGAGAAUUUUAAGAACAAGAAAACGCCUGGUAAAAGUUGUAACUGGCUCUGCUUGCCUGUGGUAUGACAGCCAAGAAUAUCACCUGCUGAUGAUUUACAGAUUCCUGGGAGAUGUGCUGUUGAGUCUUAAAGAACUGGAACAAGGACAACUCACCCAAAUUGCUUUUCGUGAAACAGCAUAAUGUAUCCACCCGCUUCAUGCUAUCUUAAUUUAGGACAUGUGUAGUGUGUAAUGAUGAACUGGCCAACUGAUUAUGUUGCUGUAAAUCCUGUUCCCCACCUUACAAAACACUCCUGUCUGACCCCUUCUUUCAUGACAGCUCAGCCCAGCGUUUCCAGUCCACCUCUUGGGAGGGAGAAAGAUCUCACUAGCCAUUCACGGAAGCAGUUCUCUAGAGAGAAAAAUGCAACAUUUUGUUAGUUUUAUUUCAUUCAGCAGCCUUUUCAUAUUCCUUGACCCACUUUUGCUUCUCUUUAAACUGUGACCAGUAUUUAUUUAUCCCUUUUUAAACACAAUAAUUUAAUUAAGAAACUAAUCAGCAGUGUUGAAUUGAUCUUUGAACUCCCCCCUAUCACUGAAGGAAAUUUAUGAAUGCAUAACACAAGCAAUAUCCUAUUAUCUAAAAAGCUUUCUACUAAAAGGAUUUGGCAUCUAAAAAGUAAGGCUUGAAAUUCUGCACUAAAUUUAUAAUGUAAA